CCUGAAAAGCAACAGCAAGAUUCCACGGCAUCUACAAAUCAACAGCUGGAAUCCAUACCAUCUACAGUCUCUCCAACCGGACUGAAACACCGCGAGUUUUCCCAAAGGGAUAUGCAGGUCUCUACUUUUUCUCUGAGCAGAGAGAUGGACGAGCUGGAACCUAGGUCUUACACCCACGCUAAGAGCCCACACAGCGAGUUCUCUAUAGAGAACAUGCAACUGGAAGAGAUCGCCGCAUCGGGCCGCGACACUCCGACGCGUCGUAGGAGGCGCGAUUCUGGACAGCACGAUAUGCAGAGUUCCACCUUCUCUGUCAGCCAACCCUGGUAAACCGGAUUGAACCAGUUUGAGAGGCUUUGCUGCUUCAGCACUCCUGUAUUUGAUGACCUGGGAUUUGGUGUCGCUACAGCAGAAACAGCUUGUGGAACUAGUUUUAAAAUCUAUUUUUUAAUAUUGGCGGGAAGAUAUUUGGAAAAAAAGAGGAAGAUAAUUAUUUGUAAAAAAAGAUUCAGAGAAACCCUAUUUUGGUAUGUUUUUUUAUGUUUGGUAACAAUACUUUUUUUCCACAAGCAACGCUAAAGUUUCUAGCAGAAGCUGAUAAACUCGUAUGUGUUCUCCCUCUAACUUUUAGUUACUCUGUAUUAUGUUAACUAAAUUCAUAUUAUGCCAUAUUAAUUUAGUUUUUAGUUCAUGCCAUAAUAAUUAUUUUUAGUUUUAAGUUAUUUUCUAAUUAAGGCUCCAAAGAAAUAGGUAGCAUAUUAUUCACUAAUUAAGACAAAGAUUAAACUUAUUUAAUAUAAUAUUAAUGUGAUUAUCACUUACGAUUUCAAUUUUAUGUUAAUACUUAUUAGAAUUAAUGUUAACUCAAAUGACAUAAUUUUAUUUAGUUCCUUAUGACAAAAUAAAAAAGUUAAUUACUCUAUUUUUCUCCUAUAUUGUAGACUGGAUCAUUAUUUAAUAAACUAAUUAUAAAGUUCGUUAAUAAAACAUAUCACCAAGUGGA
Ostrinia nubilalis (European corn borer) is the source of this 1003-nucleotide long non-coding RNA. RefSeq lists it as uncharacterized. NCBI's taxonomy places the organism in Eukaryota, Metazoa, Arthropoda, Insecta, Lepidoptera, Crambidae. The transcript is spliced from 4 exons. The record is from RefSeq and is a predicted model, not a curated record.